RNAcentral lists this unclassified non-coding RNA (1380 nucleotides) under Hevea brasiliensis (rubber tree). The record is from RNAcentral. Lineage: Eukaryota; Viridiplantae; Streptophyta; Magnoliopsida; Malpighiales; Euphorbiaceae.
AGAGAAGGUUAGUAAAAUCGGAGAGACAGUGACAAGAAAUUAGUCACAUAUUGCUAAACAAUGUGACUUGAACAAUUCGGGUAAUUGGACACCAUCAGCAUACACGCUACUCGCAACUCAAUCAAAGCAUAAUCAAUUUACAUCAGGAUCUAGAACAAAAUUGUGCCAUGUAUAAGAAAACAAUCUUGAGCCAAUAAUUUGUUCUAGUGCCAAAUGUAACCCCAGAACCAGAUCAUCAAUUUUUAUCAGCACCUUCAUCAAAUUCAGCAGAGCCCACAACUCGGAAAUCCAGUUGCUUCUGAUGCUUUGAGCGACGGCGUUCAUCAAAAUCUUCCCAUCCUUCAAACUGACGAAGAAUAUCCAUCGUGAUUUCUGCGUUAUGGAGAUCAAGUGUUGAGAGUUGCAGGCACAUCUUGAAUAAUCCAGAAGGAAGAGACUUUAACCCAUUAUUACCUAGGUACAAAGCCUUCAAAUUAUGCAAAUUGCCAAAUGACUCCGGCAAUUCUGUCAGAAGAUUUGAUGAAAGAUUAACCUCAACAAGGGAAUUACACUCCCCUAUAGAUGUUGGAAUGGUGCACAUCCUGUUAUUGUUGGCUUUCAAAACCUCCAGCUGAAUGAGGAGUCCAAUUUCAACUGGGAGGCAAUUCAACUUGUUGUUUGAGAUACUAAGAUGCUUCAAGGAACUCAGAGCACCCAAUUCAGAAGGCAACACCGUUAAAUGGUUUUGGCUCAAAGAUAGAACUGUUAGAUGCUUUAGAGAUGUUAGGCCUUCCCAAUAAAUAGAUUCAUCUGACAUGCUAUUUCCAUUCAGGAACAGUUUCUGCAGAGAACUCAUACAGCCAAUUUUGGUUGGUAAAUCUUGAAUCAAAUUGUUGCUGAUGUCAAGGACUCUUGUAGAAGGUCCACAAGCCCACACUUGAUCAGGUAGCACCUUCAAGUUGCAUUCAGCCAAAGCAAUAACUCCUGUGACUUUCCAUCGAUCCAAACAGUUCUUAUCUAUAGAAAAUUCAGUCUUUUGAUUCACCAUUUUGUUAGCAAGAUUAGCCCUUGAGAUGGGACGGGUUUUAGCAUCUUUUAAAAUGGGACCAUCCCCUUGAUGCAAUCCCUGGGUGGACAUGAGCAUGACCUUAGCCCCAUUUGUGACCUCCGAUUCCUUCAAAGUCAUGGAGUCCACCAACAACUUUCCUUUGAAGAUGAGCUUUUGGCCACGAGGAAGAACAUUGGUGAGAGGUUGAAGAAGAGAUUUGAAGUCUUUGAUCGUUGAGUCCAGAGAAACAGAGAUUGGUAUGGAUCGUCCGCUGAACUUCACAGUUAUGCUUAUUGAAUUGCAAUUGAUAUCUUCACCUUCCAUUUUUUUUUUUUUUUGGGUCUCAGAAACUU